Molecule: transfer RNA, 67 nt
Filed under: Perittopus sp. HL-2012
Lineage: Eukaryota; Metazoa; Arthropoda; Insecta; Hemiptera; Veliidae
Description: tRNA-Trp
Source: RNAcentral
AAAACCUUAAGUUAAAAAAACUAUUAACCUUCAAAGUUAAAAAUGAAAAUAAUAUUUUUAGGUUUUA